UGGGGAAUCUUGCGCAAUGGGCGGAAGCCUGACGCAGCAACGCCGCGUGUGGGAAGACGGCCUUCGGGUUGUAAACCACUUUCAGGGGGGACGAAGCUUCCGAGGUUAAUAGCCUACGGGGUGACGGUACCCCCAGAAGAAGCCCCGGCUAACUACGUGCCAGCAGCCGCGGUAAUACGUAGGGGGCGAGCGUUGUCCGGAAUCAUUGGGCGUAAAGCGCGUGUAGGCGGCUCGGUCAGUCUGGUGUGAAACCUUGGGGCUCAACCCCAAGCCUGCACUGGAUACUGCUGAGCUUGAGUCCGGGAGGGGAGAGCGGAAUUCCUAGUGUAGCGGUGAAAUGCGCAGAUAUUAGGAAGAACACCGGUGGCGAAGGCGGCUCUCUGGAACGGUACUGACGCUGAGACGCGAAAGCGUGGGGAGCGAACAGG
Molecule: ribosomal RNA, 428 nt
Filed under: uncultured Gaiellales bacterium
Lineage: Bacteria; Bacillati; Actinomycetota; Thermoleophilia; Gaiellales
Description: bacterial SSU rRNA
Rfam family: Bacterial small subunit ribosomal RNA
Source: RNAcentral